This 26-nucleotide non-coding RNA is filed under the name Mus musculus (house mouse). The record is from RNAcentral. Lineage: Eukaryota; Metazoa; Chordata; Mammalia; Rodentia; Muridae.
UGCCGUUCGUUCCUUGCGUGAUGUAC